Non-coding RNA from Phalacrocorax carbo (great cormorant), 4400 nucleotides. Lineage: Eukaryota; Metazoa; Chordata; Aves; Suliformes; Phalacrocoracidae. The record is from RefSeq and is a predicted model, not a curated record.
CUGACUUCUCAUUUUCUAUUUUUAUCAUCAUUUAUUGUUUGCUUCUUACAUUAUAGAUGUACUUGAUGUAAAUUGCAGAAAAUAGCAUUUUAAACCUUUUUUCCUCAAUUGUCUUUUCAGAACACGUAAGAUCAUGAAAACACUCUGCAGUACCCAAGUUAACUUUAGAAUGGUUAAGUAGCAAUUCCCUUGAUGACCAUGUUCACAUUGUGAGCUGCACCAACACACGUGUUUUGUCUAUCAGUCCAAAAGAAUAUCCCAUUUAGGGCUUUUCCCCACAGUAAUCAAGGCUGAAGACAGCAAAACAGCAUUCCCUUCAGAGGAUGCAGCAACAAAUGAACCAACAUUUGUUAGAGACUAAGCCCUGGUACCGGUUCCUUUUGCAAUAUAGUGUAGUGUGACUUCAGUUUCCUAUAGUGAAGGCAGCCAAGGUAAAAAGUACAAGACUGCAGAUUAAUUUAGUAAAAAUGUGUUUCUGUGCAUAAAGCUCCUUAGGUUCAGACUUGUUGCUGGUCGAAACUGGCCUAUUGACCUUUGUCCACUCUAGCUGGUAAACCUGCAGGUCUUUGCUAAGGUAUGCUUGCAGCAUAAAACGUCUCAGGCUCUAAUUAAAUGCAGAAUGCAUGUAAAUAGCCUUUCCAGAUGUUUUAGUUAAUGUAACUAAUAUCAGUCUGAGCCUAAUGCCUUCCUUUACUUAGGAGGUGAAAGACUUGGCGUGAAACAUUUGUCUUUGAAAAUUUUAAAACAUGGUAUUUGUUUCCUUUUAUGAUUUUUACAAUUUUGUCUCAUUUAUAGCAAACCCCAUUUGGCCUACAAGAAGCGUAUCAGCUGCCUUUUGCUGGUAAAAAAACCUGGCUGCCAUAAAAACAGAUAGCCUCUGGAUUUGGCAAGAUGAUAAACAGAAAGAUUGUCAUCAGUUUCAAAAGGUUUCUCUUCCAUUUGCAGUGGAAUAUUGCAUUAUGCCUCUAGUUGAGAAAUGUGAACAGUAAUCUCACUUUCACGCACAUUGGGAUGGCUUGCUGGAGGCCACUCAAAAUUUUACUUUAAAAACCAACCAAACAAAACCAAGGCAAACAAAACAAGCUAUGUUCACAGCUUCGUUUUAAAAUAUCAUAGGCAUAUUUGUACUAAGGACCCAGUUUUACCAGCCUGUUCUUUGUAGAAUUCUCAUCUGCUCUGAUUAUUUGAUAAAGACUAAUUUUGUCAGGUUGCUUUGCCUUUGUUCAGUUUUUGGGUUGUUGUGGUUUUUUUUGUUGUUUGAGGUAUUUUUUCCAGAAUUCUUAACCUUUCCAUAGUUUCAGUGUAUUUUUAAAUUAUUGCGAAAAUUCCCCUUCCUUCUCCUGUGGCUAGCAGGAAGCCAGCAGGAUACCAAUACUGCUUACUCACGGAAAUUAAAAACAAAACAAUAGGUAAGAAAAAUAAAGAAAUAGAACAAACAAGAGACACUAUCUUUUCUGUUAAAGCUUAAUGUGUUGUGUAUUAGUUAUUCGACAUAUUGGAGCUUAAAGUCUUGAAACUUCCCUGGCAGAGUUUCUGCAGAAUUUGGUUGCUAGUUAUUUCUGUGUCUGCAACUGAAAUAUAGUGUUGAACUACUAGUCCUGUCUGUGUGCCCAUAAAAUUGGUAAAAAAGCAGUAAGCCAGCAACAGUAGCCUUGCAGCCCAGGUCCAUGUUCAAGGUGUGAUAGUUUAUAUGGAGAGGUGGUCUGUUUAUUAAUUUAUUUUUCUUGUACCCCUGCAGAUGUUGGUGGUUAUGGGACUUGCUGGGCAGGCACAGGUGAUGUCAGCUUGGCUGGACAUGUGUGUGCAUCAUGCCCUCAACGUGUGAGGUCUCUCCCACUCUCCUGUCAAGCCUAUCCUGAGGCGCUUGGACUAUCCUGUGCUCCUACUCCCAAGCAGAACCACGGUGACUUGCACAUAACUGCUUUAGUAGGCAACAGAUCUCAGAAAAAUACUUGAGUCACUUCCCCAAAAAAGGAAAUCUGAGAUUUACAUUGCUGGCAGGUGUGUUGCCUGUUUUUGCUCUCCACACUGAACUCCAGAACUUGGUGCAGCUCUGUUCAGAUGGAGGGAACAGCAAAAGGAUUCAAAACCUGGAUUUGGUCCCUGACCCUGCCACUGAAGUGCCCCAGGACUGAUUCAUUCCCUUUGCAUCUCUUCAGCUUUCUUACCUCCUUUGCAAAAAUACCCACCCCAGAACUUCAUCACUCCCACCUUUAAAGACUUUUACUGCCUUUGGGCUAGGAGUGCCUUGAGUUAAGAUGAGAAUUUUGUUAAAUUCCAGUCUUGCCUAUAACAUGAUAGUGGUUCCAUACAGGAAAGUGUGUGCUGUGUUUCUCCAGAAUGCAUUAAGAAUAGAAUUUAAUGCAAGUAAGGCACCAAGAUUAAUCUAAUCCUCAGGUUAUCAUUAUCAAAUGAUGUUUCAGGUAUAAGAUAUGUUAAAAGUCUUAUCAUUAGCUGGUGUUUUUGUGUUGCAUGUACUAUAUAGAUGACUUCAUGAAAAGGUGCAGAAGUUUUUUUUUAAUUAGAAAUCACAAAAUAUACUUUGAAAACAUUAAUAAGUUUUGGCCACGGGUAUUGUGGCAUGGUGCAGUGUCCUAUUAAAGAUAACCAAGAAUGACAACUUUCAUAUGGAUCUAAUACCGAAAGAUGACCUUUGUGCUCCCUUGCUAUCUGGGCAGUAUGAGGGGGAAAAUUUCAGUGCAUAAAUCUAAAACCCUCUGGAAAAUAUUCUUUAUAGCUCCAGUAAAGUCCUUUGGCUAGUUCAGUGUUUGCUGUUGACACCAAAGACACCUGAAUAUUCCUUAAUGUACUGAAAUGUUCCAGAGUGUCACCAGUAAGAAUUGCGCAUUUUCUGGUACAGCACACAGUUUUUAAAGGUUCCUCUCUAUUAUAAUCUUCAUUGCUGUCCUAUAGAUGAAAAAACAGGCAAUUUUCAAUUUGCUUUAUGCGCUGCCUCAGUGCAAUGGCUAUGUCCCAGAGUGAUGCACUCAAAGUGUCAAGUACGAGCCCAAAACUGGCAAGAGGAUUCUGCCGGAGCUAUAAAUUCCCUCUUCUCCAGAGGUUAUUUCUGCACUCACCCUUUGUGUGCAGAACUUAUUUCUGUGCUUGGGUUAAUGUUUACGUUUUCCUUGUAGGUCAUCUUUUAUUCUAAAAACUAAAUUGAAAUCCUUCUGUUCAGCUAUUAAAUUUGUGGGUUCUGUAUAUUGUACAAUAUAUUUUAAGGGGGGGGGGAUUAGCUUUUGGAUUAUAGUUUUUCAAGGGAAGUGGUUAUUUUCUCUCUACCCAUUCUGAUCAGUACCUUCAGAAAGACAGUCCAGCAAUGGUUUAGGUGCUGAUAUUUUAUAAUCAGUAUCUUAUAAUAAAAAUUGUUUUUCAUACAAUUUUAAUUUAUCCAGUACAUAUGUCAGGCUCUAGAUCUUUGCCCAAUAUCUGUUGCUGCUAAGACGUUGUAAUCUGUUAGUACUUCAGCAUCUGAUCUGUUCUACAUUCCCUUCACACAGAUGUGUCUUAAUGAUGUUUCCAUUAAUAUUUAUUCUGAUAGAGUGUAUUUGUGUGAAGAUUAGGACUUGGAGCUGGUUAGCAGGUUUCAAAAGUCAUUACACAGAAGAGAGUGAUACUUUAGCAAGCCAAGGUAUCUCAUCAAGCAAAAACCAUCUGAACUGGGGAUGGACCCAGGAAAGGGGUAUGGAGGACAGGACACUGUUGCCCACUGGUGGGUGGACAGCACAGGUCUCAGCUGCUGCCUCCUGCCUUCGCUCCAGCUCUGCUCUCAGGUGUAGCUGGAAGGUCAGGGUCCUAUGGAUCACCUAGUGCUGGGACAGAUGUUGAAUACUGAGGAUUAAGCUACUGGACAGGGUAGGAGAUGCAAAUAGUUUGUUUUCCAUUUCUGUUUUGCACUCCCAAAAUUACUCGAUAGAUUCCCCCAAAGUCACCAAGGUUGGAUAGGUUUUGUUCUCCCCUCCUUGCCCCGCCCCACCCCGUGGGGAUUCACCUAGGUGAAAUAUUUUUGGGACCUACAAGGGAAAGGGACUGUAUGCACGCAAAGAACUGCUUUUUUUUCAGGUAUAUUAUAUGGCAUCUGAUUUUAUACAUAAGGAAGGUUAUUUUUAUGAGGCCUUUCCCACCCUACGAAAAUUGAGCACCCCUUUUUGUUUUCUUGGCUACAUUUUCUCAUGAGUCUGUUACUCUGCUAAUGUGUGUUAUUUUUUCCUUCUCUGCAAAGCCUUGUGAUUUUCAAAUGUGUAUGAGUAGCAUUUAUCCCUCUCCCCCUCCAGUAAUGUUAUGACUACUUAUGUUUUAUGCUUCUGAAGCAUUCGGCACUGUGGGAAAAUAUAGAAUGCUGUGUACCAAAGAAAUUGAAGAAUAUUAAUGUAUUCAAAUGAAGGGAAAUAAAAAUUGAA